AUCAUGCGGUCAGAAAUCAUUGUAAAUUUUUCUUUUUUAAAUUGAAUAUAAACAGCUUUCGUCAGAUAUUGUUUAUAUUCAAUUUUAAAUAAAAAAUUUAUAAUAAUUUUUAACUUUGAGAAUCCCAUCAUCCUCACAAAAAGAUGCAGCGAGGAUCCUCAUGAAAUUCUUCUUUUAACACUAGGAAAUGGAAAAGUAUACUCAGUUGGAAGGUGCCCUUGGGAGGCCAUGCUGAUGGAGAUAGAGAUGGGAGAGGGAGAGGGAGUGGGAGAGAGGGAGACAGAAACAGAGCGACAGAGAGAGAAGGAAAGGGAAGAGUGGGCAUCUCAGCGCCAUUGCUGCAGAUCCUUGAUCUUCUUCGAUCCCAUCUCCGUGUUCUUCUCAGCCUCUCACAGUCGCAGCAUCACUCGCUCACUCACUCGCUCACUCACUCACUCACUCACUACAGAUCGUGUCAAAGGCUGGGCAUCCAGCUGCUUUGCUCCUCUCCAUCUGAUGUUGCCCCCUUGGCAUUUCUAUCACCACUGUGAAAGGGCUGGAGCUUUUUGAUGUCAAACUUAGGGAUGCUUCAAAGAAAUUGGGGAAAGAGUUUGCGACCGGAGCCUCUGUUGUUAAGAUUCUCAUUCGGUUGCUGUUUUAAAUUUGGGCUUUCAUUUGGUUGAGCAUCCUUCUCUCCAAAAGAUUUUAUUUUGAAGUCUGAAUAUGCGAAUAGAACCAUAUAAUUAUGGGACCGAACCAGUGCACCGAUCAAAGACGUUAAGGCUGCUCUCAUUGAUAGCAAUUGGGACAUUGAGGCUGCGCAGAAGGAAUUGAGGAGGAGAGGGAAGGUUUUGGCGUCGAAAAAGUCAUCUCGGAUGGCUGCUGAGGGCUUGCUGGCUCUGGCUCAGAAUGAGAACAAGGCUGCUAUUAUUGAAGUUAACUGUGACACUGACUUUGUUGCUCGAAAUGAUAUCUUUCAAUACUUGUCUUUGAAGUUGGAGGCUUUUGCUCUGUUGGGUUUUUUUCCAGUAACUCGAAGGGCCGAAAGUGGUGCUUUUUAGGGUUUAGCUAUUUGAUUUCACAGAUUCAUUACAGACACAGUAAAUAGGUAUAUCACUAUGGAAGAACUAGAGCAAGUCCUACACGAAUACGGCUUGCAUGGUGAAUUUUAAUAUUUCCAGGUACAACCGUAUCUCACUCCCUCUGUGAUUGACUUCUUUGGUGUUCAUUUUUUGAUGUUUUCUCAGUGGUAUGGUGACUGCCAGAAUUACUGGGUUUUCAAUUUUAUUAGAAUCGAUUUUUAAGUCGCCGGACUCUAAGGGACACCAUCCAUCAAGAGUAUCGUAAUGUUGUCGAGAGGCAAGUUUUUACAGUGAUGGGCACAAGAGCUGAUGAAGAGACAAUUGAAAGAUUAGUCGAGACAAGAGACACUGAACAAAAUUUCCAGAAGCCAAU
This is a long non-coding RNA of Pyrus x bretschneideri (Chinese white pear), 1434 nucleotides long. RefSeq lists it as uncharacterized. The record is from RefSeq and is a predicted model, not a curated record. The transcript has 14 exons. NCBI's taxonomy places the organism in Eukaryota, Viridiplantae, Streptophyta, Magnoliopsida, Rosales, Rosaceae.